Molecule: ribosomal RNA, 561 nt
Filed under: uncultured bacterium
Lineage: Bacteria
Description: bacterial SSU rRNA
Rfam family: Bacterial small subunit ribosomal RNA
Source: RNAcentral
CCUACGGGAGGCAGCAGUGGGGAAUAUUGGACAAUGGGCGAAAGCCUGAUCCAGCAAUGCCGCGUGAGUGAUGAAGGCCUUAGGGUUGUAAAGCUCUUUUACCAGGGAUGAUAAUGACAGUACCUGGAGAAUAAGCUCCGGCUAACUCCGUGCCAGCAGCCGCGGUAAUACGGAGGGAGCUAGCGUUGUUCGGAAUUACUGGGCGUAAAGCGUACGUAGGCGGUUAUUCAAGUCAGAGGUGAAAGCCUGGAGCUCAACUCCAGAACUGCCUUUGAAACUAGAUAGCUAGAAUCACGGAGAGGUUAGUGGAAUUCCGAGUGUAGAGGUGAAAUUCGUAGAUAUUCGGAAGAACACCAGUGGCGAAGGCGACUAACUGGACGUGUAUUGACGCUGAGGUACGAAAGCGUGGGGAGCAAACAGGAUUAGAUACCCUGGUAGUCCACGCCGUAAACGAUGAUAACUAGCUGUUCGGUCUCUACGAGACUGAGUGGCGCAGCUAACGCAUUAAGUUAUCCGCCUGGGGAGUACGGUCGCAAGAUUAAAACUCAAAUGAAUUGACGG